This 253-nucleotide ribosomal RNA is filed under the name uncultured bacterium. RNAcentral's name for it is "partial 16S ribosomal RNA". It matches the Rfam family "Bacterial small subunit ribosomal RNA", at positions 524 to 776 of the family's 1533-position model. The record is from RNAcentral.
UACAGAGGGGGCCAGCGUUAUUCGGAAUUAUUGGGCGUAAAGGGCGCGUAGGCGGCCAUGCGUGUCUUCCGUGAAAUCCCUCGGCUUAACCGAGGACGUGCGGAAGAAACUGCAAGGCUCGAAUCCGGAAGAGGGGGGCGGAAUUCCCAGUGUAGCGGUGAAAUGCGUAGAUAUUGGGAGGAACACCAGUGGCGAAGGCGGUCCCCUGGGCCGGAACUGACGCUGAGGCGCGAAAGCGUGGGUAGCAAACGGG